RNAcentral lists this ribosomal RNA (1007 nucleotides) under Kocuria sp. RNAcentral describes it as "bacterial SSU rRNA". It matches the Rfam family "Bacterial small subunit ribosomal RNA", at positions 45 to 1059 of the family's 1533-position model. Lineage: Bacteria; Bacillati; Actinomycetota; Actinomycetes; Micrococcales; Micrococcaceae. The record is from RNAcentral.
UGGGCUACACAUGCAGUCGACGCUGAAGCUUGGGUGUUUUUCAUCUGGGUGGAUGAGUGGCGAACGGGUGAGUAAUACGUGAGUAACCUGCCCUUGACUCUGGGAUAAGCCUGGGAAACUGGGUCUAAUACUGUAUACUACAUACCCUCGCAUGGGGGUGUGUGGAAAGGGUUUUACUGGUUUUGGAUGGGCUCACGGUCUAUCAGCUUGUUGGUGGGGUAAUGGCCUACCAAGGCGACGACGGGUAGCCGGCCUGAGAGGGUGACCGGCCACACUGGGACUGAGACACGGCCCAGACUCCUACGGGAGGCAGCAGUGGGGAAUAUUGCACAAUGGGCGAAAGCCUGAUGCAGCGACGCCGCGUGAGGGAUGACGGCCUUCGGGUUGUAAACCUCUUUCAGCACGGAAGAAGCGAAAGUGACGGUACGUGCAGAAGAAGCGCCGGCUAACUACGUGCCAGCAGCCGCGGUAAUACGUAGGGCGCAAGCGUUGUCCGGAAUUAUUGGGCGUAAAGAGCUCGUAGGCGGUUUGUCGCGUCUGCUGUGAAAGCCCGGGGCUUAACCCCGUGGUGUGCAGUGGGUACGGGCAGACUAGAGUGCAGUAGGGGAGACUGGAAUUCCUGGUGUAGCGGUGAAAUGCGCAGAUAUCAGGAGGAACACCGAUGGCGAAGGCAGGUCUCUGGGCUGUUACUGACGCUGAGGAGCGAAAGCAUGGGGAGCGAACAGGAUUAGAUACCCUGGUAGUCCAUGCCGUAAACGUUGGGCACUAGGUGUGGGGGACAUUCCACGUUUUCCGCGCCGUAGCUAACGCAUUAAGUGCCCCGCCUGGGGAGUACGGCCGCAAGGCUAAAACUCAAAGGAAUUGACGGGGGCCCGCACAAGCGGCGGAGCAUGCGGAUUAAUUCGAUGCAACGCGAAGAACCUUACCAAGGCUUGACAUACACCAGACCGGCCCAGAGAUGGGUUUCCUCUUUGAGGUUGUGUACAGGUGGGGAUGGUUGUCGCAGC